AACUCUCAACCCCCCUAUUUUGUAAUGAAAUGGGCGUGGGCUUGGAUUAUGGUUGUCUGUCGGCGUAAUUGCCGGCUCAACUGAAAUACACGAGCAACCCUAUUGAAAUAGACGGUUUGACUUGGCGUAAUAAUUAUUUCGCUAAGGACGUCUUCUUCAAAUAUAAGAGGUGCUUCUAAUGCGCUUUAUAGCACUUUAAGC
This 201-nucleotide unclassified non-coding RNA is filed under the name uncultured Cystobasidiaceae. RNAcentral's name for it is "sequence contains ITS2". The record is from RNAcentral. Lineage: Eukaryota; Fungi; Basidiomycota; Cystobasidiomycetes; Cystobasidiales; Cystobasidiaceae.